This 555-nucleotide unclassified non-coding RNA is filed under the name Hevea brasiliensis (rubber tree). The record is from RNAcentral. Lineage: Eukaryota; Viridiplantae; Streptophyta; Magnoliopsida; Malpighiales; Euphorbiaceae.
GGCCUCAACUAUGGUAGGCAACAAAGUUUCAACAUCUAACCCCAAAACUACAAUGCAAAACAUAAAAUGGUUAACACCUCAGAAGAUCUUAACCCGCAGGACAAUGAGAAAGUUAAGCAGCAACUGGCUGCUUCUUCAGUUUCGCAAGCUCUUGCCUGAUUGCACCACCUCUCUUGAUCCUUGCCAACAUGACCUUGAACCGGUCAAAGUCAUUCAGAGAAGCUCGCCUCUUCUGGACAAUCAACUUCCUUCCCCAUGAGCUGUUCUCCCACUUGUUCUUGACAUCUGCAGCUUCCAUUGCAGCAAUCAGAGACUUCUUUUUUGGGAUUCGAGGGAUGUCGAUCUUAAUGUCAGUGAGGGAGAGCCUCUUGAAAUUCAUUUGCCCUCUUACCAUGUCAGGGGCAUCGACCAAAGCCCGAUUUUGAUCGAGAACGUCGACGAUGACGACGAGCCUGCCGUAAUCCUUCCCAUAGUUCACCAGGGCGACCCUCCCGAUCUCGACGUACCUCUUGAAAGGCAUGGCUGUUGGAGGUCCGCGACGGAACUAGGGUUUCG